CUUUCAAUAGCUCAGUUGGUAGAGCGGAGGACUGUAGAUCCUUAGGUCGCUGGUUCAGAUCCAGCUUGAAGGG
This is a non-coding RNA of Perca flavescens (yellow perch), 73 nucleotides long. The record is from the annotation of a RefSeq genome assembly. NCBI's taxonomy places the organism in Eukaryota, Metazoa, Chordata, Actinopteri, Perciformes, Percidae.